GCAGCCGCGGUAACACGUAAGUUGCGAGCGUUGUUCGGAAUUAUUGGGCGUAAAGGGCAUGUAGGCGGUUAUAAAAGCUUGAUGUGAAAUCUCUGGGCUUAACCCAGAAACUGCAUUGAGAACUGUAUGACUAGAGUUACUAAGGGGAAACUAGAAUUCCAGGUGUAGGGGUGGAAUCUGUAGAUAUCUGGAAGAAUACCAAUGGCGAAGGCAAGUUUCUAGUAGAUAACUGACGCUGAGGUGCGAAGGUGUGGGGAGCGAACAGGAUUAGAUACCCC
This 278-nucleotide ribosomal RNA is filed under the name uncultured Treponema sp. RNAcentral's name for it is "partial 16S ribosomal RNA". It matches the Rfam family "Bacterial small subunit ribosomal RNA", at positions 511 to 788 of the family's 1533-position model. Lineage: Bacteria; Pseudomonadati; Spirochaetota; Spirochaetia; Treponematales; Treponemataceae. The record is from RNAcentral.